GCUGAACGCUUUCUUCUUUCCUAAUACAUGCAAGUCGAGCGAACAGACGAGGAGCUUACUCCUCUGACGUUAGCGGCGGACGGGUGAGUAACACGUGGAUAACCUACCUAUAAGACUGGGAUAACUUCGGGAAACCGGAGCUAAUACCGGAUAACAUGUUGAACCGCAUGGUUCAACAGUGAAAGACGGUCUUGCUGUCACUUAUAGAUGGAUCCGCGUCGCAUUAGCUAGUUGGUAAGGUAACGGCUUACCAAGGCAACGAUGCGUAGCCGACCUGAGAGGGUGAUCGGCCACACUGGAACUGAGACACGGUCCAGACUCCUACGGGAGGCAGCAGUAGGGAAUCUUCCGCAAUGGGCGAAAGCCUGACGGAGCAACGCCGCGUGAGUGAAGAAGGUCUUCGGAUCGUAAAACUCUGUUAUUAGGGAAGAACAAAUGUGUAAGUAACUAUGCACGUCUUGACGGUACCUAAUCAGAAAGCCAAGGCUAACUACGUG
Molecule: ribosomal RNA, 497 nt
Filed under: uncultured bacterium
Lineage: Bacteria
Description: partial 16S ribosomal RNA
Rfam family: Bacterial small subunit ribosomal RNA
Source: RNAcentral